RNAcentral lists this ribosomal RNA (253 nucleotides) under uncultured bacterium. Its description in RNAcentral is "partial 16S ribosomal RNA". It matches the Rfam family "Bacterial small subunit ribosomal RNA", at positions 524 to 776 of the family's 1533-position model. The record is from RNAcentral.
UACGGGGGGGGCAAGCGUUGUUCGGAAUUACUGGGCGUAAAGGGCUCGUAGGCGGCCAACUAAGUCGGAUGUGAAAUCCCCAGGCUCAACUUGGGAACUGCAUCCGAUACUGGAUGGCUUGAAUUCGGGAGAGGGAUGCAGAAUUCCAGGUGUAGCGGUGAAAUGCGUAGAUAUCUGGAGGAAUACCGGUGGCGAAGGCGGCAUCCUGCACCGACAUUGACGCUGAGGAGCGAAAGCUAGGGGAGCAAACGGG